RNAcentral lists this ribosomal RNA (253 nucleotides) under uncultured Lactobacillus sp. RNAcentral describes it as "partial 16S ribosomal RNA". It matches the Rfam family "Bacterial small subunit ribosomal RNA", at positions 524 to 776 of the family's 1533-position model. Lineage: Bacteria; Bacillati; Bacillota; Bacilli; Lactobacillales; Lactobacillaceae. The record is from RNAcentral.
UACGUAGGUGGCAAGCGUUAUCCGGAUUUAUUGGGCGUAAAGGGAACGCAGGCGGUCUUUUAAGUCUGAUGUGAAAGCCUUCGGCUUAACCGGAGUAGUGCAUUGGAAACCGGGCGACUUGAGUGCAGAAGAGGACAGUGGAACUCCAUGUGUAGCGGUGGAAUGCGUAGAUAUAUGGAAGAACACCAGUAGCGAAGGCGGCUGUCUGGUCUGCAACUGACGCUGAGGCUCGAAAGCGUGGGGAUCGAACAGG